This 560-nucleotide ribosomal RNA is filed under the name uncultured Alphaproteobacteria bacterium. Its description in RNAcentral is "bacterial SSU rRNA". It matches the Rfam family "Bacterial small subunit ribosomal RNA", at positions 338 to 916 of the family's 1533-position model. The record is from RNAcentral. Lineage: Bacteria; Pseudomonadati; Pseudomonadota; Alphaproteobacteria.
CCUACGGGAGGCAGCAGUGGGGAAUCUUGGACAAUGGGCGCAAGCCUGAUCCAGCCAUGCCGCGUGAGUGAUGAAGGCCUUAGGGUCGUAAAGCUCUUUCGCCAGAGAUGAUAAUGACAGUAUCUGGUAAAGAAACCCCGGCUAACUCCGUGCCAGCAGCCGCGGUAAUACGGAGGGGGUUAGCGUUGUUCGGAAUUACUGGGCGUAAAGCGCGCGUAGGCGGAUUAGUAAGUUAGAGGUGAAAUCCCGGGGCUCAACCCCGGAACUGCCUUUAAUACUGCUAGUCUUGAGUUCGAGAGAGGUGAGUGGAAUUCCGAGUGUAGAGGUGAAAUUCGUAGAUAUUCGGAGGAACACCAGUGGCGAAGGCGGCUCACUGGCUCGAUACUGACGCUGAGGUGCGAAAGUGUGGGGAGCAAACAGGAUUAGAUACCCUGGUAGUCCACACCGUAAACGAUGAAUGCCAGUCGUCGGGUAGCAUGCUAUUCGGUGACACACCUAACGGAUUAAGCAUUCCGCCUGGGGAGUACGGUCGCAAGAUUAAAACUCAAAUGAAUUGACGG